GACGAACGCUGGCGGCGUGCUUAACACAUGCAAGUCGAACGGAAAGGCCCUGCUUUUGUGGGGUGCUCGAGUGGCGAACGGGUGAGUAACACGUGAGUAACCUGCCCUUGACUUUGGGAUAACUUCAGGAAACUGGGGCUAAUACCGGAUAGGAGCUCCUGCUGCAUGGUGGGGGUUGGAAAGUUUCGGCGGUUGGGGAUGGACUCGCGGCUUAUCAGCUUGUUGGUGGGGUAGUGGCUUACCAAGGCUUUGACGGGUAGCCGGCCUGAGAGGGUGACCGGCCACAUUGGGACUGGGGUACGGCCCAGACUCCUACCGGGGGCAGCAGUGGGGAAUAUUGCACAAUGGGCGGAAGCCUGGUGCAGCAACGCCGGGUGCGGGAUGACGGCCUUCGGGUUUUAAACCGCUUUCGCCUGUGACGAAGCGUGAGUGGCGGUAAUGGGUAAAGAAGCACCGGCUAACUACGUG
RNAcentral lists this ribosomal RNA (468 nucleotides) under uncultured bacterium. Its description in RNAcentral is "partial 16S ribosomal RNA". It matches the Rfam family "Bacterial small subunit ribosomal RNA", at positions 28 to 507 of the family's 1533-position model. The record is from RNAcentral.